CAGUCGCCACGGGAAUACGGAGGGUGCAAGCGUUAUCCGGAUUUAUUGGGUUUAAAGGGUCCGUAGGCGGAUCUGUAAGUCAGUGGUGAAAUCUCACAGCUUAACUGUGAAACUGCCAUUGAUACUGCAGGUCUUGAGUAAAUUUGAAGUGGCUGGAAUAAGUAGUGUAGCGGUGAAAUGCAUAGAUAUUACUUAGAACACCAAUUGCGAAGGCAGGUCACUAAGAUUUAACUGACGCUGAUGGACGAAAGCGUGGGGAGCGAACAGGAUUAGAUACCCGGGUAGUCCCUGUCUCUUAUAC
RNAcentral lists this ribosomal RNA (301 nucleotides) under uncultured bacterium. RNAcentral's name for it is "partial 16S ribosomal RNA". It matches the Rfam family "Bacterial small subunit ribosomal RNA", at positions 509 to 807 of the family's 1533-position model. The record is from RNAcentral.